This 1093-nucleotide ribosomal RNA is filed under the name Thyridium sp. RNAcentral describes it as "SSU rRNA". It matches the Rfam family "Eukaryotic small subunit ribosomal RNA", at positions 39 to 1143 of the family's 1831-position model. Lineage: Eukaryota; Fungi; Ascomycota; Sordariomycetes; Thyridiales; Thyridiaceae. The record is from RNAcentral.
CAAGAUUAGCCAUGCAUGUCUAAGUAUAAGCAAUUAUACCGCGAAACUGCGAAUGGCUCAUUAAAUCAGUUAUCGUUUAUUUGAUAGUACCUUACUACUUGGAUAACCGUGGUAAUUCUAGAGCUAAUACAUGCUAAAAAUCCCGACUUCGGAAGGGAUGUAUUUAUUAGAUUAAAAACCAAUGCCCUUCGGGGCUCACUGGUGAUUCAUAAUAACUUUUCGAAUCGCAUGGCCUUGCGCCGGCGAUGGUUCAUUCAAAUUUCUGCCCUAUCAACUUUCGACGGCUGGGUCUUGGCCAGCCAUGGUGACAACGGGUAACGGAGGGUUAGGGCUCGACCCCGGAGAAGGAGCCUGAGAGACGGCUACUACAUCCAAGGAAGGCAGCAGGCGCGCAAAUUACCCAAUCCCGACACGGGGAGGUAGUGACAAUAAAUACUGAUACAGGGCUCUUUAGGGUCUUGUAAUUGGAAUGAGUACAAUUUAAAUCCCUUAACGAGGAACAAUUGGAGGGCAAGUCUGGUGCCAGCAGCCGCGGUAAUUCCAGCUCCAAUAGCGUAUAUUAAAGUUGUUGCAGUUAAAAAGCUCGUAGUUGAACCUUGGGCCUGGCUGGCCGGUCCGCCUCACCGCGUGCACUGGUCCGGCCGGGUCUUUCCCUCUGGGGAACCGCAUGCCCUUCACUGGGUGUGCUGGGGAACCAGGACUUUUACUUUGAAAAAAUUAGAGUGUUCAAAGCAGGCCUAUGCUCGAAUACAUUAGCAUGGAAUAAUAGAAUAGGACGUGUGGUUCUAUUUUGUUGGUUUCUAGGACCGCCGUAAUGAUUAAUAGGGACAGUCGGGGGCAUCAGUAUUCAAUUGUCAGAGGUGAAAUUCUUGGAUUUAUUGAAGACUAACUACUGCGAAAGCAUUUGCCAAGGAUGUUUUCAUUAAUCAGGAACGAAAGUUAGGGGAUCGAAGACGAUCAGAUACCGUCGUAGUCUUAACCAUAAACUAUGCCGACUAGGGAUCGGACGAAGUUAUUUUUUGACUCGUUCGGCACCUUACACGAAAGUAUAAGUUUCUGGGUUCUGGGGGGAGUAUGGUCGCAAGGUGAAUAG